RNAcentral lists this long non-coding RNA (250 nucleotides) under Homo sapiens (human). RNAcentral's name for it is "non-protein coding lnc-ZNF99-8:1". The record is from RNAcentral. Lineage: Eukaryota; Metazoa; Chordata; Mammalia; Primates; Hominidae.
CAGAAACGAGACCCAGCUGAGUAGAGCUAUAGUAACAACACUUCUGAACCACAUAUAUUUUUGGCUAGAGAGCUAUCAAGAAACAUUACCCAACAAAUCAGCUGUGCUUUUGGCUUGAAGAAUGAAGAGGAAAGGCCCUAGGCAGAUGGUGGCAGUGGUGAGCUGGCACACACUUGUCACCAGAGUGUGACAUCUGUGACUGGAGUUAUCUCCUAAACCAGGAGUGUGGUAAAAUAUUCCUUCCUAAAUU